GAUCGUAUUAUUCUUUUUUCUUAUGCACAAAUACAAGCCGAUAUUGGUUGACAAAAGGAAAGACUUUUUGUUCUCGCGGAAAGGAAUUCUUCGAAAAGUACCUUUUUUUGUGUUCCCCGUUUUUAGAAUAAUUACAGUAUAGCUGGAAUUUGAAGUAGAUUGUGCUGACACUAGUUAAUUUUUUUCUACUAGUUAAUUUAUUUAUCCAUACUGAUUUACAAGUAUAUUGAAAUGUAACUCCGUCAUUAGCGCAUGUAAUACUUAGUACGUAGUAUAUAUGUGAGUAAAAAAGAUAAAUAUGGUAGAAAAAAUACUAAAAGGCUAUUAAAAAUGACGUUUUCUAUCUUAUAAAAGAAAUUUGAAUGGAACAGGAGAAUUAAAAUGAAACGAUGGCGAUUAUUAAUUUCAUUACUAGAAAGGAGAAAGACAAUGGGCAAAAAAAAAGAUGAGAGACAAUAAAUGAAGAAUGGUUGUAUUGGGCAGAUCACAUAACUCAACCACUCCUCUGACUAACUUUUAUAGACAACCCUCUUUUCGCCUUUUGAUUCCCUUUUCCAUUUCUUUCAUCUCUAUUAGUAACUUACUAUACUAAAUACUAAUAAAAUUACUAUUCCAUUUUUAUCUUUUGUGUGAUUUGAUCGUCUCUUUUACAUUCACCCCUUUUUUGUUUCCUUUUCACGGUCACUGAUUAUCAUCUUCCUUGUUUUUCCGCUUUGAUUUGGUCAAAUCGUCGCAAAGCCAAAGUAAAUAAAUCAGUAAAUGAAUUCUUAUAAAUUAUGAUGGGCGUGAAACAAACAAAAUUCAAGGAAAAUAGAGGGUACGGACUACGUUCUUGAUUUUACUUUAACAAGUAAAAUAGCAUGGUAAAAUGAGAAAUCCAUUGACAUGUCUCAAAAAGUAAAUCCAAAUGUUUACGUUGAAAUCUUGAAACUUGAAAUAUAUUUACACUGUUUGACCAAAACAUAAAUACAAAAAUAUAUACACAAGUAAAUAGGUCUGGGACCCAGCCACCCAGAACCCAUGUUUAUUUUGUCUUGUAUAGCUUUGGCUCUCUCUCCACUUACUUACUCUCUUGAGUUUUUUUCUCUUCUUAAAAACCUCUUCUUUUUCUUAUCCUUCUCAUCGUUCUCUUCAUCAUCACCACCACAUUCUUCUCUCUUUCUCUCCCUCUCUUUCUUCCUUGAUCUCAGCCGGAUCUGAUGGGGGAUAGAAAAUAUAUGUCUUCAAGAUCUUCUGAGUUUCAGGUGGGUUUGAUUUUUUUGUAACAGAUUGGUGUAAUGAUGAAGGAUUCUGACUCAUGUGAGAAACUAAAAAGUCUAUCAUCAUUACUAACUUUUUCUCGUUUUUUUUUUCUUUCUCUAGCUAUAAUUUUGUAAUGAUUUGUUUUUUAUGAUGUCAGGACAAGUUAGCAUUCAGAGAGACUAAAUCUAUUCAUGGUCAUGAUUAAUGAGGGUUAUUUACUUUCGGAUCCGUCUGUUUCUAAAAAAUCAAACCAGAUCUACUAGAUCUGAAGCUAGAUCUGAAUCUUUCAAAUUACUGCUGUAUUUAUGUUGUUAGUACAACUACUAGCCUUAGGGUUUCAUCAUUCCAUAAACCAUAUUUACUUCAACAAUAAAAUAAUUAAAAUUUGUAGAUUCUCGCAUUGUUUUCUUUUUCCUCUGGUUAAUGUUAUUGUUCUAUUCACACUGACAUUUUGUCUUCAUCAGUUACUUCAAGCAUAGAGGAUCAAGAAACUCUAUCGGAUUUUGUCUCAUUUUGAAAUAUUGUAAAUGUAAUAAUCUCUUUCUAUCUCAUACAAUUGUCAAUUUAUAGCUGA
Arabidopsis lyrata subsp. lyrata is the source of this 1816-nucleotide long non-coding RNA. RefSeq lists it as uncharacterized. The record is from RefSeq and is a predicted model, not a curated record. NCBI's taxonomy places the organism in Eukaryota, Viridiplantae, Streptophyta, Magnoliopsida, Brassicales, Brassicaceae. The transcript is spliced from 2 exons.